Long non-coding RNA from Pseudophryne corroboree (corroboree frog), 828 nucleotides. RefSeq lists it as uncharacterized. The transcript is spliced from 5 exons. Lineage: Eukaryota; Metazoa; Chordata; Amphibia; Anura; Myobatrachidae. The record is from RefSeq and is a predicted model, not a curated record.
GCUGGAGGGAAAAUGCUGGGGUCUGAGCUGGAGAGACAACACUGGGGGCUGAGCUGGAAAGACAAUGCAGGGGGCUGAGAUGGAGAGACAGGGGACUGAGCUGGAGACACAUGGCCAUGGGCUGAGCUGGAGAGACAGGAAGCUGAACUGGUGAGACAGGUUCCCAGGGAUGCAGUGUGCGGGUGCGCAGGUGAUGUAAUGACUUAACCCGCGAUGUGAGGAGCCUGGGCGCUAGUUGGAUCCAGUUUGAUCCAGCCGUCGGUGGCAAUGACAGGAGAAGCAGCCAGUGGGAGGCCAUGAAGCGUGAAAGCGGGAGCCGUGACUGCGGGGAGAGGGAGGACUGAAGCUAGGCAGCAUGGCAACUUGUCAGUUGCAGAUAGAGGAGUGAGAUGAAACACUUGUACUCUUCGUCCUCUGUGACACCAGUGAAUACAGCCCCUUGUCAUGCUUGCAUGUGUUGUGGCUAAAAAUACAUAUAUGAUGAAGACACCAGCAGAUGCCAGGUUACUGGGAUAGUACCAAGAGAUAAUAUUACCUACUUCGUGACACUGUCAGUAAAUAAAUGUUUGUCCAACGAAACCAAGUGAUACAUUUACUCGUCUUUCCAACUAAUCAAGAAGCACAGAAUAUUUGGAAGGACUUGUCUAUCACAGAAACAUUCUAGAGUUUCAGACACCGAAUACAUGACUCACAGAGACAGGAAGGAGCCUAAAGGUGCAAAGGAAAAAGAUUUAUACAAUACCAAAUUCAAUUUAAAUAACCUACAUGUCGAACAUCUCAUUAUCCUUUCAACAAACUCUAAACAUGACCAGACAGCUUGCAUUGCCA